This 829-nucleotide long non-coding RNA is filed under the name Vigna radiata. RNAcentral's name for it is "long non-coding RNA (VRAD_LNC005127)". The record is from RNAcentral. Lineage: Eukaryota; Viridiplantae; Streptophyta; Magnoliopsida; Fabales; Fabaceae.
AAUUUUUGGUGAGUGGUUGAAUGAGAAAGUGAGGAAAUCUCUCUUAAAUGCUCUUGAAAGUGAAAGAAGGGUGCUAGGGCUUAGGGAGAUCGCUCAAGUGAAAUGCAAAGAAGAGUUUGGAAGUGAAAAAUGUGAAAAACCACUUAGCUUUUAAGUAAAGCGAAAACCCCUCAGCGCCGCAACCGCUCAGCGACAAAAUGCACCGCUCAGCGGUUUGCGCGUGAUUUCUCUUCUUCCUCUUUUUGCUUUCUUUUGAGUAAUCUUUCCCUCUAGCACUUAAUUUCAACCUUCAAUUUCUCAAAUAUAUACCUUUCCCCUCUCAAAUGCAAUCAUCAACAUGUAAUGCAUUUAACACAGGAUUAAAACAAAACAAUCAAUUGGAUUGCCUUCCAGGUAGCGCUUGUUUAACGUCACGAGCCUGACCCAAACCUGUUUAGCACUCAUCAGUAAGUGCUUCUGGAUGGGUGUCGCGGCCCAUACAAAUUUAAUUGCAAAUUAGAAAUGCAGUAUAAUGGUAGGGAAUGACCCCUAGGUCGUCUCUCAAGGACCAACUGCGGUUCAGAGUCAAGUCUAACACAAAAGGGGGGGGGGGGUUUGAAAAAUGUUUUUGCGAAUGCGAAUAACUAAAUUAAAACAAAUGGACAUUAAACUCAACUGAGUAAGUUAGAAAACAUCAAGGUAAAAUAAAAUGCUAAUCCCAACAUUUCAACAAACAAUUAUCUAAACACAAGUAAAACUAUAAAAUGCAACACUAAAUUAGAGACAUCAAAAGCAACUAAUCCUACUAUGUAAAUUAAUGCAAAACAAAGGAGUAAUUAAACAUGCUUUU